This 890-nucleotide ribosomal RNA is filed under the name uncultured bacterium. RNAcentral's name for it is "bacterial SSU rRNA". It matches the Rfam family "Bacterial small subunit ribosomal RNA", at positions 15 to 916 of the family's 1533-position model. The record is from RNAcentral.
GAUCCUGGCUCAGGACGAACGCUGGCGGCGCGCCUAACACAUGCAAGUCGAACGAGCGAGAGAGAGCUUCGCUUUCUCGAGCGAGUGGCGAACGGGUGAGUAACGCGUGAGGAACCUGCCUCAAAGAGGGGGACAACAGUUGGAAACGACUGCUAACACCGCAUAAGCCCACGACCUGGCAUCGGGUUGAGGGAAAAGGAGCAAUCCGCUUUGAGAUGGCCUCGCGUCUGAUUAGCUAGUUGGUGAGGCAACGGCUUACCAAGUCGACGAUCAGUAGCCGGACUGAGAGGUUGAACGGCCACAUUGGGACUGAGAUACGGCCCAGACUCCUACGGGAGGCAGCAGUCGGGAAUAUUGCGCAAUGGAGGAAACUCUGACGCAGUGACGCCGCGUGCAGGAAGAAGGUUUUCGGAUUGUAAACUGCUUUAGACAGGGAAGAAAUAAGACAGUACCUGUAGAAUAAGCUCCGGCUAACUACGUGCCAGCAGCCGCGGUAAUACGUAGGGAGCGAGCGUUAUCCGGAUUUAUUGGGUGUAAAGGGUGCGUAGACGGGAAGAUAAGUUAGUUGUGAAAUCCCUCGGCUUAACUGAGGAACUGCAACUAAAACUGUUUUUCUUGAGUACUGGAGAGGAAAGUGGAAUUCCUAGUGUAGCGGUGAAAUGCGUAGAUAUUAGGAGGAACACCAGUGGCGAAGGCGACUUUCUGGACAGAAACUGACGUUGAGGCACGAAAGUGUGGGGAGCAAACAGGAUUAGAUACCCUGGUAGUCCACACCGUAAACGAUGGAUACUAGGUGUAGGGGAUAAUAAAUCCUCUGUGCCGCCGCAAACGCAAUAAGUAUCCCACCUGGGGAGUACGGCCGCAAGGUUGAAACUCAAAGGAAUUGACGG